UACGUAGGUGACCAGCGUUGUCCGGAUUUACUGGGCGUAAAGAGCGCGCAGGCGGUCGAUCAAGUCGAGUGUGAAAGCCCCCGGCUCAACUGGGGAGGGUCAUUCGAUACUGAUCGACUCGAAGGCAGGAGAGGGUAGUGGAAUUCCCGGUGUAGUGGUGAAGUGCGUAGAUAUCGGGAGGAACACCAGUGGCGAAGGCGACUACCUGGCCUGUUCUUGACGCUGAGGCGCGAAAGCUAGGGGAGCAAACAGG
This 253-nucleotide ribosomal RNA is filed under the name uncultured bacterium. RNAcentral describes it as "partial 16S ribosomal RNA". It matches the Rfam family "Bacterial small subunit ribosomal RNA", at positions 524 to 776 of the family's 1533-position model. The record is from RNAcentral.